RNAcentral lists this ribosomal RNA (779 nucleotides) under Shigella sonnei. RNAcentral describes it as "partial 23S ribosomal RNA". It matches the Rfam family "Bacterial large subunit ribosomal RNA", at positions 474 to 1252 of the family's 2925-position model. Lineage: Bacteria; Pseudomonadati; Pseudomonadota; Gammaproteobacteria; Enterobacterales; Enterobacteriaceae. The record is from RNAcentral.
UCCUGACUGACCGAUAGUGAACCAGUACCGUGAGGGAAAGGCGAAAAGAACCCCGGCGAGGGGAGUGAAAAAGAACCUGAAACCGUGUACGUACAAGCAGUGGGAGCACGCUUAGGCGUGUGACUGCGUACCUUUUGUAUAAUGGGUCAGCGACUUAUAUUCUGUAGCAAGGUUAACCGAAUAGGGGAGCCGAAGGGAAACCGAGUCUUAACUGGGCGUUAAGUUGCAGGGUAUAGACCCGAAACCCGGUGAUCUAGCCAUGGGCAGGUUGAAGGUUGGGUAACACUAACUGGAGGACCGAACCGACUAAUGUUGAAAAAUUAGCGGAUGACUUGUGGCUGGGGGUGAAAGGCCAAUCAAACCGGGAGAUAGCUGGUUCUCCCCGAAAGCUAUUUAGGUAGCGCCUCGUGAAUUCAUCUCCGGGGGUAGAGCACUGUUUCGGCAAGGGGGUCAUCCCGACUUACCAACCCGAUGCAAACUGCGAAUACCGGAGAAUGUUAUCACGGGAGACACACGGCGGGUGCUAACGUCCGUCGUGAAGAGGGAAACAACCCAGACCGCCAGCUAAGGUCCCAAAGUCAUGGUUAAGUGGGAAACGAUGUGGGAAGGCCCAGACAGCCAGGAUGUUGGCUUAGAAGCAGCCAUCAUUUAAAGAAAGCGUAAUAGCUCACUGGUCGAGUCGGCCUGCGCGGAAGAUGUAACGGGGCUAAACCAUGCACCGAAGCUGCGGCAGCGACGCUUAUGCGUUGUUGGGUAGGGGAGCGUUCUGUAAGCCUGCG